CGGGUGCACUGAUCCAGCCGGGCCUUUCCCUCUGUGGAACCCCAUGGCCUUCACUGGCUGUGGUGGGGAAACAGGACUUUUACUUUGAAAAAAUUAGAGUGCUCCAGGCAGGCCUAUGCUCGAAUACAUUAGCAUGGAAUAAUAGAAUAGGACGUGUGGUUCUAUUUUGUUGGUUUCUAGGACCGCCCUAAUGAUUCAUAGGGACAGUCGGGGGCAUCAGUAUUCAAUUGUCAGAGGUGAAAUUCUUGGAUCUAUUGAAGACUAACUACUGCGAAAGCAUUUGCCAAGGAUGUUUUCAUUGAUAAGGAACGAAAGUUAGGGGAUUGAAGACGAUCAGAUACCGUCGUAGUCUUAACUAUAAACUAUGCCGACUAGGGAUCGGACGAUGUUAUUCUUUGACGCGUUCGGCACCUUUCGAGAAAUCAAAGUGCUUGGGCUCCAGGGGGAGUAUGGUCGCAAGGCUGAAACUUAAAGAAAUUGACGGAAGGGCACCACCAGGGGUGGAACCUGCGGCUUAAUUUGACUCAACACGGGGAAACUCACCAGGUCCAGACACAGUGAGGAUUGACAGAUUGAGAGCUCUUUCUUGAUUCUGUGGGUGGUGGUGCAUGGCCGUUCUUAGUUGGUGGAGUGAUUUGUCUGCUUAAUUGCGAUAACGAACGAGACCUUAACCUGCUAAAUAGCCCGUACUGCUUUGGCAGUUCGCCGGCUUCUUAGAGGGACUAUCGG
RNAcentral lists this ribosomal RNA (729 nucleotides) under uncultured eukaryote. RNAcentral describes it as "SSU rRNA". It matches the Rfam family "Eukaryotic small subunit ribosomal RNA", at positions 670 to 1426 of the family's 1831-position model. The record is from RNAcentral.